AGAGAAGACACUCGUGGAGGCGUCGGC
RNAcentral lists this non-coding RNA (27 nucleotides) under Homo sapiens (human). The record is from RNAcentral. Lineage: Eukaryota; Metazoa; Chordata; Mammalia; Primates; Hominidae.